GGCCCUUUAGCACAAUGCAUAGCGCGUUGGACUUCUAAUCCAAAGGUCGUGGGUUCGGAUCCCACCUCGAAUGGCCU
This is a non-coding RNA of Trichonephila inaurata madagascariensis, 77 nucleotides long. The record is from the annotation of a GenBank genome assembly. Lineage: Eukaryota; Metazoa; Arthropoda; Arachnida; Araneae; Nephilidae.